This 402-nucleotide ribosomal RNA is filed under the name uncultured bacterium. RNAcentral describes it as "bacterial SSU rRNA". It matches the Rfam family "Bacterial small subunit ribosomal RNA", at positions 32 to 413 of the family's 1533-position model. The record is from RNAcentral.
AAUCAACGCUGGCGGCGUGCCUCAGACAUGCAAGUCGAACGCGAAAUUUCCCUUCGGGGAGAAAGUAGAGUGGCGCACGGGUGAGUAACACGUAGGUAAUUUGCCUUUGGGUGGGGAAUAACUCAGGGAAACUUGAGCUAAUACCGCAUAAUGCAGCGGCUCGACAUCGAGACAGUUGUUAAAGCGGGGGAUCGCAAGACCUCGCGCCUGAAGAGAAGCCUGCGGCAGAUUAGCUAGUUGGUAAGGUAAUGGCUUACCAAGGCGACGAUCUGUAACCGGCCUGAGAGGGCGGUCGGUCACACUGACACUGACAUACGGGUCAGACUCCUACGGGAGGCAGCAGUCGGGAAUUUUGGGCAAUGGGCGAAAGCCUGACCCAGCAACGCCGCGUGAAGGAUGAAA